GACGAACGCUGGCGGCGUGCCUAAUACAUGCAAGUCGAACGAACUCUGGUAUUGAUUGGUGCUUGCAUCAUGAUUUACAUUUGAGUGAGUGGCGAACUGGUGAGUAACACGUGGGAAACCUGCCCAGAAGCGGGGGAUAACACCUGGAAACAGAUGCUAAUACCGCAUAACAACUUGGACCGCAUGGUCCGAGUUUGAAAGAUGGCUUCGGCUAUCACUUUUGGAUGGUCCCGCGGCGUAUUAGCUAGAUGGUGGGGUAACGGCUCACCAUGGCAAUGAUACGUAGCCGACCUGAGAGGGUAAUCGGCCACAUUGGGACUGAGACACGGCCCAAACUCCUACGGGAGGCAGCAGUAGGAAAUCUUCCACAAUGGACGAAAGUCUGAUGGAGCAACGCCGCGUGAGUGAAGAAGGGUUUCGGCUCGUAAAACUCUGUUGUUAAAGAAGAACAUAUCUGAGAGUAACUGUUCAGGUAUUGACGGUAUUUAACCAGAAAGCCACGGCUAACUACGUGCCAGCAGCCGCGGUAAUACGUAGGUGGCAAGCGUUGUCCGGAUUUAUUGGGCGUAAAGCGAGCGCAGGCGGUUUUUUAAGUCUGAUGUGAAAGCCUUCGGCUCAACCGAAGAAGUGCAUCGGAAACUGGGAAACUUGAGUGCAGAAGAGGACAGUGGAACUCCAUGUGUAGCGGUGAAAUGCGUAGAUAUAUGGAAGAACACCAGUGGCGAAGGCGGCUGUCUGGUCUGUAACUGACGCUGAGGCUCGAAAGUAUGGGUAGCAAACAGGAUUAGAUACCCUGGUAGUCCAUACCGUAAACGAUGAAUGCUAAGUGUUGGAGGGUUUCCGCCCUUCAGUGCUGCAGCUAACGCAUUAAGCAUUCCGCCUGGGGAGUACGGCCGCAAGGCUGAAACUCAAAGGAAUUGACGGGGGCCCGCACAAGCGGUGGAGCAUGUGGUUUAAUUCGAAGCUACGCGAAGAACCUUACCAGGUCUUGACAUACUAUGCAAAUCUAAGAGAUUAGACGUUCCCUUCGGGGACAUGGAUACAGGUGGUGCAUGGUUGUCGUCAGCUCGUGUCGUGAGAUGUUGGGUUAAGUCCCGCAACGAGCGCAACCCUUAUUAUCAGUUGCCAGCAUUAAGUUGGGCACUCUGGUGAGACUGCCGGUGACAAACCGGAGGAAGGUGGGGAUGACGUCAAAUCAUCAUGCCCCUUAUGACCUGGGCUACACACGUGCUACAAUGGAUGGUACAACGAGUUGCGAACUCGCGAGAGUAAGCUAAUCUCUUAAAGUCAUUCUCAGUUCGGAUUGUAGGCUGCAACUCGCCUACAUGAAGUCGGAAUCGCUAGUAAUCGCGGAUCAGCAUGCCGCGGUGAAUACGUUCCCGGGCCUUGUACACACCGCCCGUCACACCAUGAGAGUUUGUAACACCCAAAGUCGGUGGGGUAACCUUUUAGGAACCAGCCGCCUAAGGUGGGACAGAUGAUUAGGGUG
RNAcentral lists this ribosomal RNA (1489 nucleotides) under Lactiplantibacillus pentosus. RNAcentral's name for it is "bacterial SSU rRNA". It matches the Rfam family "Bacterial small subunit ribosomal RNA". Lineage: Bacteria; Bacillati; Bacillota; Bacilli; Lactobacillales; Lactobacillaceae. The record is from RNAcentral.